GACAGAGGUGCCAAGCGUUAGGCGGAAUCACUGGGCUUAAAGCGUGUGUAGGCGGUCGGUCACGUCUCUUGUGAAAUCCCACGGCUCAACCGUGGAACUGCUGGGUAUACUGGUUGUCUUGAGCCAGCUAGGGGCGAGCGGAACAGACGGUGGAGCGGUGAAAUGCGUAGAUAUCGUCUGGAACGCCGAAGGUGAAAACAGCUCGCUGGGGCUGCGCUGACGCUGAGACACGAAAGCCAGGGGAGCGAACGGG
This 253-nucleotide ribosomal RNA is filed under the name uncultured bacterium. RNAcentral describes it as "partial 16S ribosomal RNA". It matches the Rfam family "Bacterial small subunit ribosomal RNA", at positions 524 to 776 of the family's 1533-position model. The record is from RNAcentral.